GGGGGAUGACGUCAAGUCCUCAUGGCCUUUAUGUCCAGGGCUACACACGUGCUACAAUGGCAAGUACAAAGCGCUGCAAACUCGCGAGAGGGAGCCAAUCGCAAAAAGCUUGUCUCAGUUCGGAUUGGAGUCUGCAACUCGACUCCAUGAAGCUGGAAUCGCUAGUAAUCGCAGAUCAGCGUGCUGCGGUGAAUACGUUCCCGGGUCUUGUACACACCGCCCGUCACAUCACGAAAGUGGGUUGUACUAGAAAUCGUCGCGCCAACCCGUAAGGGAGGCAGACGCUCACGGUAUGA
RNAcentral lists this ribosomal RNA (296 nucleotides) under uncultured Acidobacteriota bacterium. RNAcentral describes it as "uncultured Acidobacteria bacterium partial 16S ribosomal RNA". It matches the Rfam family "Bacterial small subunit ribosomal RNA", at positions 1174 to 1467 of the family's 1533-position model. Lineage: Bacteria; Pseudomonadati; Acidobacteriota. The record is from RNAcentral.